GACGAACGCUGGCGGCAUGCCUAAUACAUGCAAGUCGAGCGGACGUUUCAAAGAGCUUGCUCUUUGAAACGUUAGCGGCGGACGGGUGAGUAACACGUGGGCAACCUGCCCUACAGAUGGGGAUAACUCCGGGAAACCGGGGCUAAUACCGAAUAAUCAGUUGGUCCGCAUGGACCAACUCUGAAAGACGGUUUCGGCUGUCACUGUAGGAUGGGCCCGCGGCGCAUUAGCUAGUUGGUGGGGUAAUGGCCUACCAAGGCGACGAUGCGUAGCCGACCUGAGAGGGUGAUCGGCCACACUGGGACUGAGACACGGCCCAGACUCCUACGGGAGGCAGCAGUAGGGAAUCUUCCACAAUGGACGAAAGUCUGAUGGAGCAAUGCCGCGUGAGCGAAGAAGGUUUUCGGAUCGUAAAGCUCUGUUGUAAGGGAAGAACACGUACGGGAGUAACUGCCCGUACCUUGACGGUACCUUAUUAGAAAGCCACGGCUAACUACGUGCCAGCCGCCGCCGUAAGAC
Molecule: ribosomal RNA, 519 nt
Filed under: uncultured bacterium
Lineage: Bacteria
Description: bacterial SSU rRNA
Rfam family: Bacterial small subunit ribosomal RNA
Source: RNAcentral